RNAcentral lists this ribosomal RNA (250 nucleotides) under Vibrio parahaemolyticus. RNAcentral describes it as "partial 23S ribosomal RNA". It matches the Rfam family "Bacterial large subunit ribosomal RNA", at positions 1540 to 1786 of the family's 2925-position model. The record is from RNAcentral. Lineage: Bacteria; Pseudomonadati; Pseudomonadota; Gammaproteobacteria; Vibrionales; Vibrionaceae.
AUCCGGCUCUUUUUAAGGCUGAGACACGACGUCGAGCACCUACGGGUGUGAAGUCAUUGAUGCCAUGCUUCCAGGAAAAGCCUCUAAGCUUCAGAUUGUAAGGAAUCGUACCCCAAACCGACACAGGUGGUCGGGUAGAGAAUACCAAGGCGCUUGAGAGAACUCGGGUGAAGGAACUAGGCAAAAUGGUACCGUAACUUCGGGAGAAGGUACGCUCUUGAUGGUGAAGUCCCUUGCGGAUGGAGCUAUU